This is a non-coding RNA of Callithrix jacchus (white-tufted-ear marmoset), 3581 nucleotides long. NCBI's taxonomy places the organism in Eukaryota, Metazoa, Chordata, Mammalia, Primates, Cebidae. The record is from RefSeq and is a predicted model, not a curated record.
CAGAAACUGAAGGUGUCCAAGAGACUGACAGCUGUCUCCUGACUUCCCCAGUCCUCACUGGCAAUGGGCAUGUCCUCUCAUCCCCUGCGGCCCGGCAUCCUUCUUCCUUGCCUUGAGGCUGCGCCUUAGACUGCCCGGCUGCAGUGCAGUGGCGCGAUCUCGGCUCACUGCAACCUCCGCCUCCCGGGUUCAAGCGAUUCUCUGGGCCUCAGCCUCCUGAGUAUCUGGGACUACAGGCGCUCAACUAGUUCUGGCUUAUUUUUGUAUUUUUAGUAGCGACGGCGUUUCUAAACGCCAACCUGGUCUCGAGCUCCUGACUUAAGUGAUUCGUCUGCCCCCCCAUCAAAGUGCUGGAAUUACAAGAAGAAACCACAGCACCCGACCUUAUUUCAUUUUUUAAUAUACAUCCAAAUUAAUCUUAAGUUAGAAAUCUGAACAUGUUACUCUCUAAAAAUACUUUGAUAAUUCCUUAAACCACAAGGAAUAAAAAAUAAUCCUCUUAUUUACUCAACCAAUAUCAGUAACCAUGUUCUGUUUACAUGGCACUAUGUAUCAUGGACACUAGGAAUAGAAACACGAAUAAUUCACGAAGCUUUUAAUUUGAAUGGUUUGGGGACUUCGAAGGCACAAAAUGAUAAGGCGAAGGAUCGGCUCCUUUUUGCCACCAUGAAUGGAAGCAGCCUGUGGUCCUCACCAGAUGCAGAUGCCCGUGCCACACAUGUACCAAAUAAAACUUUUUAUCCAUGAGCCAAAUAAAACUUAAAAAAAAAAAAAAACAAACUAGCCUUAUGUGUUCCUUUGUAGCAACAAACAAGUGAAGACACUCACCUUUCACUUAUCAUCUCCCUCUCUUGCUCACUUUGCUCCAUUCACACCAACCUUUUCUAUCCCUAAAAUGUACUAAGAUCUGUUGUCCUCACAACCCUUGCUUUUACUGCUUUCUGGAUGUGAGAUAUUCUUUUCACCUCUAAUAUAAACAUACAUACUUUCUCCCUUUCUCCUCUCUCUCUCUUGGUAAUUGGGUCUCCGUCCCACAGGCUGGAGUGCAGUGGUGCAAUCAGAACUCACUGCAGCCUUCACCUCCUGGGUUCAAGUGAUCUUCCCACUUCAGCCUCCCAAGUAGCUGGGACUACAGGCUCACACCACUAUGACUGGCUAAUAUUUUUAUCUUUUCUUUUUUUUUUUUUUUGUAGAGAGAGGUUUUCUCCAUGUUGCCCAGGCUCACCUGCUCUCCUUUCUGAUUUAGCUAACUCCUACUCAUCCUUCAAUUAUUAAAUAUUAGUUUAAUUUGUCAGAGCAUUAUUCCCAGAAUCUCUUGCCAGAUUAAGCUAUCUCCUCCUGCUAUAAACCCUAUCUCUACUUUUGCUUAGCAAUAUGUGUAACAACCAUAUUAAGUAGUUGUUUGAGCAAUUGUUUGUUAAUUAUCUGUCUUCUCUAUUACUCUAUCUACAGUGAGGGUAGGCACUGCGUUUUUUUUGUUCAUCAUUCUUACCUGACUGCCUAACCUAAUGCUUAACAUUUACUAUACACUCAAUAAAUGUAUAUUAAAUAAGUGAAUCAUAAAAAGCGUUACAGAAGAAUAAGAUUUACUGAAUUAUUCUGUUUGUCAAAGGUAGCUCAUAAACAAAGAAAGACAAGAUGUAGCCACCUCAAAAGGUAGCUCAUAAACAAAGAAAGACAAGAUGUAGCCACCUCAGAAGGGAGAAUAUGAGGCAACAAGCCAAAGCAAAAGUGUUGUUCACUUAAUUUUUUAAAACAUGACCCAUAAAUAACGCCUCUUCUCUUAUAUCUUCCAGGUACUGACUUCCAUCUUGACUGUGUCAGUUUCAUGAACCAACAUUAUUCUUCCCUAGUCUUAGUCUCUUUCCAAAUUUUUCUCCAUUUCCUGUCAGUCGUGAAUUUUGAUUAUAUUUUUCUUUGUGAUAUUGUUAAAUAAUUUUCCUCUUAAUCCCACAGGCACUGCUGCAUUGCACGGCACAAUUAUCUUAGUCUUCUACAAAGUCUUCUGAUACGUCUUUCUACCCCAAACUCGUAUAGCACUCUUAAUGCCAGAUUAAUCUUCGUAAAGCAAUUCUUUAAUUAUGUCACUCAUAGUUCAAAAGUUUUCAUUUACUCUUUGUCAUUCUAUAAAACAAAUCUAGGCAUUUUACUUUAGCAUUCAUGGCCUUUAUCUUUAUUAUUCUCUUGUUUCGAAUGUAAAUUUUCUGUCUCAGUGAAACCAGUUCAUAUAUACCUACCUCUGAUACGUAUUUUCCAACUGUGUGUGCUGAUAAAAAAAUCUCUUCUUUCUCUUAAUUUUUUUCUCAUCUAUAUUCUGGGCUAUCGCUUGAUACUAUAUAUUAUUUCUAUCAUUUAUUUUUAUCUUAAUGUGUGUAAGCUGAACCCCAAACUUAAUUGCUAAUAACUUGAGAACUUCACUGUGUAGUUCCCGCAUCUGGGAUAGUACCUAGUAAACUAAUUGCAGUUUUUUUGUAACUGACUAUAGUGCCAUCAUUUUGAAUAGUAUGUAAUACUAAAUGUAACUCAAAAAAUAUUUAUUGUUGAUGAUGAUGGAUACUAUAUAAAGGAGAGAAAUUGAGCAAAAUACAUCGAAAAUUUUGAGGGAUUCUAAGAAUGUAGAAUAUCUUUAAGGGUGAAGAUAACUGAAUUCACUUGAGAUUCUUAAUGGUUGAUCAGGAUGUCUAGCAGUAUAUCAGCUUUAGCUGAAUUGUUCCCUGAUGCAAAUGAAGAUGAGGGAAGAACAUUUCAAUGGAUAAACUGACCAAAGUUUCAGAGAGUGGAAAUAUAUGUGUACAGAAGAUUUGCUAAUUUAACAAUAGAGGAAAUUGCUCACACCAUGUGGGGAGCAUUAGAUGACUAUUCCUUUGGUAGGCAUAAAGUGAAACUGUGCUUAUGUAGAAAAAAAUCUUUUUGAAGGGAUGUUUUAAAAUAAUUUUUCUGGCUGAGCACAGUGGUUCACACCUGUAAUCCCAGCACCUUGGAAGGCUGAGGUGGGAGGAUCACCUGAAGUCAGGCGUUUGAGACCAGCAUGACCAACAUGAUGAAAUCUCAUCUCUACUAAAAGUACAAAAAUUAGCCAGGUGUGGCAGCGCACACUUGCAAAUACAGCUACUUGGGAGGCUGAGACAGCUUGAACCCAGGAAGCAGAGGUUGCAGUGAGCCGAGUAGUGUCAUUGCACUCCAGCCUGGAGAAUAGAGCAAGACUCUGUUGCAAAAAAAAAAAAAAAAAGAAUUUCUCAUUCAGUAGGAACCUUACAUUUUGAGAAGGUUUAAAAAUAUUGGUCAACAUGUACACGAAUGUUCAUUGCAGCACUGUUUACAAUAGCAAAGACCUGGAAUCAACCCAAAUGCCCAUUGAUAAUAGACUGGAUUGGAAAAAUGUGGCACAUAUACACCAUGGAAUAUUAUGCAGCAAUCAGAAAUGAUGAGUUCGUGUCGUUUGUAGGGACAUGGAUGAAUCUGGAAAACAUCAUCCUCAGCAAACUGACACAAGAACAGAAAAUGAAACACCGCAUAUUCUCACUCAUAGGUGGGUGAUGAAAAAUGAGAACACAUGGACACAGAAAGGGGAGUACUAAACA